Molecule: ribosomal RNA, 518 nt
Filed under: uncultured Glomus
Lineage: Eukaryota; Fungi; Glomeromycota; Glomeromycetes; Glomerales; Glomeraceae
Description: SSU rRNA
Rfam family: Eukaryotic small subunit ribosomal RNA
Source: RNAcentral
CAGCGCGGUAAUUCCAGCUCCAAUAGCGUAUAUUAAAGUUGUUGCAGUUAAAAAGCUCGUAGUUGAAUUUCGAGAUCAAAUUGUUGGUCGUGCCUUGGUACGCACUGGCAUUAUUGGUUUCUCCCUUCUGACGAACCAUGAUGUCAUUAAUUUGGUGUCUUGGGGAAUCAGGACUGUUACUUUGAAAAAAUUAGAGUGUUUAAAGCAGGCUCACGCUUGAAUACAUUAGCAUGGAAUAAUGAAAUAGGACGUUUGAUUCUAUUUUGUUGGUUUCUAGGAUCGACGUAAUGAUUAAUAGGGAUAGUUGGGGGCAUUAGUAUUCAAUUGUCAGAGGUGAAAUUCUUGGAUUUAUUGAAGACUAACUACUGCGAAAGCAUUUGCCAAGGAUGUUUUCAUUAAUCAAGAACGAAAGUUAGGGGAUCGAAGACGAUCAGAUACCGUCGUAGUCUUAACCAUAAACUAUGCCGACUAGGGAUCGGAUGAUGUUAAUUUUUUAAUGACUCAUUCGGCGCCUUACG